RNAcentral lists this small nucleolar RNA (118 nucleotides) under Echinops telfairi (small Madagascar hedgehog). Its description in RNAcentral is "Small nucleolar RNA SNORA61 (ENSETEG00000025861.1)". Lineage: Eukaryota; Metazoa; Chordata; Mammalia; Afrosoricida; Tenrecidae. The record is from RNAcentral.
GUCCUCCAUGCCCCUCCAUCCCAUCUAAACUCUGGUCCCCGUGGUUGCAACAUGAGGAAAAGUAGCAUUGGAACUUACUUCCAGUAUUUUGCAGCACAUAGGCUAGUUUCUAACAAAC